This is a long non-coding RNA of Gallus gallus (chicken), 1081 nucleotides long. The record is from Ensembl. Lineage: Eukaryota; Metazoa; Chordata; Aves; Galliformes; Phasianidae.
GCACUUUAUACAGACCUGCCAGUACAAUGCUGUUUGGGCUUCAGCAUCUUGUCUUCCUGUGUUUCUCAGUGACUUGUUUCCUUCCCUGCUUGUGCCGUGUGAGGGCAGCAGAGAUUGUGCUUGGCUAUGUGCUGGCAGCCCGAGUACAGCCGCCUCUUUCACGUUCCCACACUGAACAUCAGCAGGUGAACGGCAAAACGAGAGUGCACAGCACUGAGAUUUCAGCUGCACCUGACCCCGGAAUUUCACUCUGUUGGACGUGGUGGAACUCAGCAAUUAUUUUACAAGGAAGGAAACGUUGCCAUGCAGCAUCUCACCAGGCCAAACCGCAGCUGGAGCUCUUCCCUUGCACAUCAGAGCGGCUGCCGGGAGGUGGAGCACCGCACCCGCUGCACAUCGUCACCGAGCACCAACCGAGAGCUUCCAGAUCGUCCCCCGCUCCAGCCAGGCUGACCCUAAGCCUCCAUCCACACAAGGUCAGCUGCUUGCUGCCAGCAAAUUAAGCAGAAGGCGUUGCUGCUGGUGUUGCUCAUUACUACCAUUGGUGCAGGUGGGCUCUCUGUUUGCUGGCUGCAGACGUGGGCUGCGCUGCUCUAGCCAAAAGAUGCCUACAGCUUGUUGGAGAAGUGCAGAAGCUCUAGGGGCAAAGCACCCGGGCAUAAAGCCCGUACGUCUGGUGGCAGCACCAGCAAAGAUGGGCGGAUGUUUUAAACUGGUCGACGUCAAGCACUGUGAUUUGGUUUCCUUUGGAUCAUUCUGCCUUGAAAUGACUCUGAUCCAGGUGUUGUUUGCUUAUGGGAACACUGAAAAGCUGCACAUGUACAAGUUUUUCACUUGAAAAACAACGAAAAAAAAGCAACCUAGGAAAAUUCCCAUAAAGGUCUAAGCAAGCAGGCUGUGGCACUGCAAGCAAAACCCUGUGAUUUUAUGUCUUUCCACACCUGUGGUCCAUUUAAGCUAUAAAUCCCAUCUGUUGUGAGCAAGGUUUGCUAUCGAGCAUCCUGAUGAGAGAGGUGAGAUUUGACUGUAAGAACAACAUACAAUGAUUUUUAAUAUUUGGUGUAAUAAAGCCUUCUCCUGC